RNAcentral lists this transfer RNA (66 nucleotides) under Colochela zhongi. RNAcentral describes it as "tRNA-Pro". Lineage: Eukaryota; Metazoa; Arthropoda; Insecta; Hymenoptera; Tenthredinidae. The record is from RNAcentral.
UAGACAAUAGUUUAUUGAAAUAUUGAUUUUGGAGAUUAUUGUUAAAGAAUUAUUCUUUUUUUCUGA